RNAcentral lists this ribosomal RNA (291 nucleotides) under uncultured bacterium. Its description in RNAcentral is "partial 16S ribosomal RNA". It matches the Rfam family "Bacterial small subunit ribosomal RNA", at positions 775 to 1067 of the family's 1533-position model. The record is from RNAcentral.
GGAUUAGAUACCCUGGUAGUCUACGCCGUAAACGAUGGUCACUAGCUGUCCGACCCAAUUGAGGGUUGGGUGGUUAAGCGAAAGUGAUAAGUGACCCACCUGGGGAGUACGUUCGCAAGAAUGAAACUCAAAGGAAUUGACGGGGGCCCGCACAAGCGGUGGAGCAUGUGGUUUAAUUCGAUGAUACGCGAGGAACCUUACCAGGGCUUAAAUGCAGUUCGACAGGCCGGGAAACCGGUUUUUCUUCGGACGGAUUGCAAGGUGCUGCAUGGCUGUCGUCAGCUCGUGCCG